UACGAGGGGGGCAAAUGUUGUUCGGAAUCACUGGGCGUAAAGGGAGCGUAGGCGGGUUUCUAAGUCAGGUGUUUAAUCCCGGGGCCCAACCCCGGACAGGCACUUGAAACUGGGAAUCUUGAAUAGUGGAGAGGUCAGUGGAAUUGGGGGUGUAGCGGUGGAAUGCGUAGAGAUCCCCAAGAACACCAGUGGCGAAGGCGACUUCCUGGCCUGUUCUUGACGCUGAGGCGCGAAAGCUGGGGGAGCAAACGGG
RNAcentral lists this ribosomal RNA (253 nucleotides) under uncultured bacterium. Its description in RNAcentral is "partial 16S ribosomal RNA". It matches the Rfam family "Bacterial small subunit ribosomal RNA", at positions 524 to 776 of the family's 1533-position model. The record is from RNAcentral.